CUCUGUGACUGGCUUGCUUGAUGGUUAGGGUCUGAUCGCUGCCUGAGACACCAUAUCGGUACUCCUCAGAGUUGAUGCAGAGUGUUCAUAUGAGGAGAGACUUUCCCUUGUCUCUGUCAUCUGUGAUUUCACUUCCCUGACAGAAGACGAAGCUUCCAUCUCAGAUGUUUUCUUAAAUGAUGAAACAGCAUACGCCUCUGUUCUUGUCAGCUCAGGGAAAACAGAUCUGGGGACCUCUUCAUCUCUGCGUUGGGAAGCAUAGGUGGUAUAAUCCCCUCCUGUCACGUCCAACGUUGCAUAGUCAGAAGCUUCGCCCUUGUAGUUGGUGCACACAGCACGGUGAUCACAGGAUCUGGUUUGCCACUGAAAGGAAUCUUGAUGCUGACCACUUCACCUCGGAGAGCAUGAACUGCUCCCAUGCCUUCAAGAGUUUUAGAAUUUUAUGCAAAGAUGGAACUUUACCAUAGGAAGAUACAGAAAUCAAGUUGUACUCACCAAAUGGACUCUUAAUGAUCACAACUGAGGACACUUCUAGAGGGUCACUGAUGCCGAAAGUGUUCUGAGCUGAAACCCGGAAGUAAUAGCCAGCAUUUUCUGUGAGGUUCACAAUUCUACAGGUUGUCACUGAGAUGGCU
Molecule: non-coding RNA, 635 nt
Filed under: Pan troglodytes (chimpanzee)
Lineage: Eukaryota; Metazoa; Chordata; Mammalia; Primates; Hominidae
Source: RNAcentral